UUGGAGGGCAAGUCUGGUGCCAGCAGCCGCGGUAAUUCCAGCUCCAAUAGCGUAUAUUAAAGUUGUUGAGGUUAAAAAGCUCGUAGUUGAACCUUGGGCCUAGCCGGCCGGUCCGCCUCACCGCGUGCACUGGCUCGGCUGGGUCUUUCCUUCUGGAGAACCGCAUGCCCUUCACUGGGUGUGUCGGGGAACCAGGACUUUUACUCUGAACAAAUUAGAUCGCUUAAAGAAGGCCUAUGCUCGAAUACAUUAGCAUGGAAUAAUAGAAUAGGACGUGUGGUUCUAUUUUGUUGGUUUCUAGGACCGCCGUAAUGAUUAAUAGGGACAGUCGGGGGCAUCAGUAUUCAAUUGUCAGAGGUGAAAUUCUUGGAUUUAUUGAAGACUAACUACUGCGAAAGCAUUUGCCAAGGAUGUUUUCAUUAAUCAGGAACGAAAGUUAGGGGAUCGAAGACGAUCAGAUACCGUCGUAGUCUUAACCAUAAACUAUGCCGAUUAGGGAUCGGACGGCGUUAUUUUUUGACCCGUUCGGCGCCUUACGGGAAAC
Molecule: ribosomal RNA, 544 nt
Filed under: uncultured Glomeraceae
Lineage: Eukaryota; Fungi; Glomeromycota; Glomeromycetes; Glomerales; Glomeraceae
Description: SSU rRNA
Rfam family: Eukaryotic small subunit ribosomal RNA
Source: RNAcentral